GGGGAUGAUCGGCUUCGACAAAGAGAUUGUUGUGUUUGUGUGCGUUAUGGAAGUGAGCGACUUCCUAAAAACGUUCAAACCCGAUAAGUGCAAAUAAAACUGCACGCGGAAUCCUUUCACCUUUCCAGAUGAAGGAUUUCGGCUUCGCUUACGCGUAAUACGUCUAAGCGACCGUCUUCGUGUUUGAUGUUCGAUAGAGCAUAGAAGGCGUCAUUUUUUCGGACUCGAGUAGUGUGUCGCUUUGCAUACUGCUUCAAAUUUAAGAAGAUCGACAUCGUAUGAUUGUGUAUUUCCUUUACGUACGCUGUUUAAAUCAAAGGUAAUACUACGUAACGUAGAUUCACUAACACUUCCUCUUUUGGACGCGGGUUCGAUUCCCGCCAUCUCCACUA
Molecule: transfer-messenger RNA, 392 nt
Filed under: Candidatus Kaiserbacteria bacterium
Lineage: Bacteria; Candidatus Kaiseribacteriota
Also listed under: 1 other name
Rfam family: transfer-messenger RNA
About the family: Bacterial tmRNA, also known as 10Sa RNA or SsrA, is named for its dual tRNA and mRNA-like properties. Its role is to liberate the mRNA from a stalled ribosome.
Source: RNAcentral